Molecule: ribosomal RNA, 497 nt
Filed under: uncultured bacterium
Lineage: Bacteria
Description: partial 16S ribosomal RNA
Rfam family: Bacterial small subunit ribosomal RNA
Source: RNAcentral
GAUGAACGCUGGCGGCGUGCUUAAUACAUGCAAGUCGAGCGAACGGACGAGAAGCUUGCUUCUCUGAUGUUAGCGGAGGACGGGUGAGUAACACGUGGAUAACCUACCUAUAAGACUGGGAUAACUUCGGGACACCGGCGCUUAUCCCGGAUAAUAUUUUGAACCGCAUGGUUCAAUAGUGAAAGACGGUCUUGCUGUCACUUAUCGAUGGUUCCGCGCUGCAUUAGCUAGUUGGUAAGGUAACGGCUUAUCACGGCAACGAUGCAUAGCCGACCUGAGAGAGUGAUCGGCCACACGGGAACGGGGACACGGACCAGACGCCUAAGGGAGGCAGCAGUAGGGAAUCUUCCGCAGUGGUCGAAAGCCUGACAGAGCAGCGCCGCGUGAGUGAUGGAGAUCUUCGGAUCGUAAAACUCUGUUAUGAGGGAAGAACAUAUGUGUAAGUAACUGUGCACAGCUUGACGGUACCUAAUCAGAAAGCCACGGCUAACUACGUG